CUCCUCCUCUCACUUGAAAGAUUUUGCAGGAGAGAAAAGGACUGGUAACACAGAGCUAGUUCUCUGAAUACUGCAGCAGUUGCUUCUGCAUGUGUGAUGUGGCAGUGCGGUUGGUGUGUGGCAAACAGCAAGCAAAACUAGUUUCAGCAUUCAGUGUGGUACACUUAAGGCAAUGUUCAGUGUUGGUGCACAUAAGAAGAGACAAGAUAAGACAAUACAAUGGAUAAACAACAUAGGAAAACAACAAUAUGACAUAUUUUAAAUUCUAAAUAAACUUAACUUAUACAUACCUUACCUCUUAGGCCAUGUGAAAUCAAUACAUUGUAGGGAUGUACAACAGCCAGGAGAAGCAAGAAAGUUGUCAGCCUCUGUGCAUGUCAUUCUGAAGUCACACUCAGAAACAAGCUUCAUCUGACUGACAUCAACAUGUGACUCGUAAGCUAAUAAUUUAUAACUGUAAUGUAUGUUAUUUGUACAGUAAGAAAUUAAUAAAACAAACAAUAAUAGUAAAAUGGAUAUAUUUCCUGUGUGUGAAUUUAAUCCCUCAUGCACUGCAGAUCAAAUACAUGAUAGUAUGUAAGAAUAAACUGGUACAAGAUGAAAUGUAUAUUCUAGCAGCAAAAAUGAGACAGAUUUACAUAAUUUUAACUUCUUCUGGGGACUAAUAUGCAUGAUAAAUUAUGAUGCCUGUGGCAAUAUGCCAUAACUGACAUGAAGCCAAGUUGACUUUAAUGUCCCCAUGUCAAGCUCAUUCCAAAAUACCACGACACACAGUUAAGUGAACCGAACUGCUUAUAACGUAAUGACUCACAAAGUCUCUCCAUCAGGCAAACAAAGUUGGCAGGAGGGGAGGACGGGGAAAAGUCUAAAGAGGAGGAGCUAGCAUGUGACUCAGAACUACAUGGCCUGCCAGAAUGCCUACAGAAAAUGACACCCUUUAAACACAUUCUAAAUAAACCAAGAUGUGAUUCAUUCUUACACAAAUGUAGUUUCUUAAGAGUACAGAGACACCAGUGCAUACUAACAGUACAUUCAAGAAUGCCAUAUAUAACAUCACAAACUACUAUUAAAUUGACUGGAUUUUCUACCACAUUUCUGUAUGAAACUGACCCAUAUUUUGAAAUAGACCAAUUUUUAUUCUGAUAAGCCUCACCUAUCUUUUGAUUCCAAAGCUCUUCCUGCUGAAAUUAAAUCUAUUACAGAAUGACAUGGUUCAGCCUUUGAAAAUCAAAGUGUGACCUAUGAUAUCAUGUAUCCAUAUAUAACAGCAUGAAAACAAUAAUUUAUGGGCUUUGUAACCUCACAUUUCAACCAGUGUAGUUAUAACAUAAUAUACUGUGGAAAUAAUAAAGUUAAGGGGCGACAAACAUGUUUAUAUCAUGUAUAAAUACAGAUAUAAAAGUAAUUCCAAGGUUUUAAUACUUUAUAUAACUUCACUAAUUUUGCAGUUAUUAUUCGCCAACAGAGACCCUACCAGUAAAAGAAUUACUUGUGUCUUUAAGAAGUCUAUAUACAUAAGUAUGAAACAAAGACUAUCUUAUGAGGGAGCCAUGUCAGUUUGUUUGUAUGUCUGCCUAGUUAUGAGUUUCCUUUUCCACAUUACAUGGUAAAUCUUGAAGAAAUUAGGUAUGGCAAGCCUGCACUAGAAAUUAUCUUAAAUACAGAAAUUUGGUUAUGAGUUACAAGCCCCAGUAAGAUAGUCUCUUUGCAUAAUAAAACAUUUUUUUUUAAUAUUUUAUAAUAUUCAGCUUCAGGAAAGAGAAUGUCAAUGGACACUAUACACCUGAAUUUUUCAUUCUUACUAAUAAAUAUGAGUCAUAUGAAAGAAAGUUUCCCACAUGUCAGAUGUGAACACCUCAUGGUAGAAGUUUAAAUUAUGGAUCUACUGCUGACUUGUCUACUAAUUUCUCUGAUGAAAUUAAUUAUUUUGAUGUAUUCCUGAAUUUGAGUCACAUUACUGUAUAACAAUAUUUACCUCUUAAGACAAAAUUCAAUUCCUAUUGAAACUACAGCCAAAAAAUCUUGCACAAAUUCAAAACAAAUUUUACAAAUUGGAAUUAAACCCAUGGCUUUUAUAGGCAUAUUUAAGAAGUGACUGUAUAUUUACAUCUAAUCUGUAACCAGCUGGUUUUUAUUUCCCAUACUUCAGAUAUAAGUUUCUGAAUAUAAAUACUAAGAUACUGAUGAAGUGGAUAUAAAACAGAGAUACUGAGGCUAGAUGUCCUUUCAAAUACUCCAUACAGGGGAGGAGGGAGAGAUAAAAAUAACUUAUCUCAACAUUCACAGUGAACCAUACAAAGUUCUCCUCUUAUACCUAAAUUUUGGCAGGACAAACCAAUAUUCUUUUAUUCCCCAUAUUCUGAGCAAGGAGGACAUCCUCAUAUUUUCACGUGUAUAUUUAUAUGAAAAACUGAACCAUAUGAAAUUGGUGGGGGAAACUGUCCACAGAAAAACUGACAGCUCAAUGACUUUUUCAGUUAACAAAUCAGUAUACAUUGCAUGUUUAAAAAGAAAAAUCUGCAGUAGACAGCAAGAAAUAUUUUAUAUAUUUCUUCCAACACCGCUUGGUAAAUGGAAAAGUCCUUCCAUUUCACACAAUAAAGUUUGUGAUAAAUUAAAUUAUUUAUUUAUUUACCCUUUUAAUGGAACUUCAUUAAACACACAACAAAUAAUUAAAAGUUUUUCUGAAUAUCCUAGCUUCAUGACUGAAAUCUCAUAUCCAAAAUUUUUGGAGGGUGCUGUAGUAUACAUAUAUAAUUUCAUUAUCUGGAAGAAUAAAACAGAAACCAUGUUCUAAAAACUUCAAUUUAUUGAAAGAGUCAAAAACUAUCUUACACCCAAUUAAUAUCUGCCAUCAAACAAUUUCACAAAGUGUUAAAAGAACUGUUUAAUUCGUAAGGAAAUGCAUAAUGGCAUUCUAGAAUUGUCUUUCCCUGAAACGCAUGCUACACAAAAUUAAAUCCAGUCUGAGAUCUCUCUCAAAUGGUUAAAUGGUCCUGUUUUUGAGUUCUGAUCCAGGCAAUUAAAAGUGUUCAAAAGUUCAUUGGAUAUUGUGCAGGAUGUUUUUAGCUAGAUUCAACAGGAAUAUCAUUUAUAAGAUAUGAAUUUUCAGUUGUAAUCCCUAUGAUAAAUGUAAGGACUUCCUUAUUUGCGAAGUCAAUUUAUAAUAAUUAGAAAACAGUCAUGAAUCUUGUCAUAAGUUUUCAUUCAGAAUGUAAGUUUGGCUCAGUUUUAGAUAAACAUGUCUUCCAUGCCAGGACUGUGCAAGGAAGGGAAAUUAUGACAGAAUGUCAGAAUUCAUAAAUAACCAGAUAAUACAGAACAAACUUGAAAGAAUACAUGAACACAAUAAGCUCUGAGAGAAUUCAAAAAAAAAAAAAAAGACUUCAAGAUAUCAACCAAAAAGUAGUAACAGUGUGGGGAGUCCUAUGAAAUGACAGAAGGAUUCUAUUAUGUAAUAUUCAUCUCAAUUGGUCAAAUAUUGAUGAUGAUGGUGGUGGUGGUGGUGGUGAUGAUGAUCUACACAAUUUUUAUUUUACUAAUUAGUACUCUUAAUUACAUACAUGAAAGUCAAACAGUCGUGUAUUAAUCUCAGCUGCAAGUUUACUGUAUAACUGUUGUGAAAAAUGUCUGUUUCUACAGUGCAUGAUUUGUUUUACUGUCUGUCAUCAUCUCUACCACAAUCGAUAGAUUGAUUUAUGACUGGUGGUCAUGGUGGUGGUGGUGGUGGUGGUGGUGAUGAUGAUGAUGAUUAUGAUAAUGAUGACUGAACUACAGAAGUUAGAAAAAUAUCUAUAUCAUUAAAGUGCAAAUACUUAAAAUAUAUCAUGAACUCAUGCAGUUGAGAUUCUGCCACCUUUCUUUGCUCAAGAAAUUGUUAGUGGAUGCAAAAAUAUCACCAAGAUUAUGUAGCUGAUAAGAUCUGAAUCAAUCAACUGCUAUUGCUAUAUGUGUAUAAAUGCCUAAGAAAAACGAACUAGCAGCAGCAAGCAGCAGUGACUUAUGUAAACAGAGAUACUCCUCAUUUUUAGACCCUUAAACCUGUGCAACAAAUUAUAACACACAGUUGAUAAGUAUAUAAUUUUACUAUUCUACAUGAAUUUUUUAAACCUUCCUGUACUGUAAUCAGUGACCACUUUAAUGAAUGAUAAGUCAAACUUCAAUGUUAUGCUUCUCUUUGAGGCCAGAAAGAUACAGGAUAAAAUACACACAAAUAUUUCUGCUAACUAUCCCUCCAGCUUUACCAUUUUUAAAUACUACUUGAUACUGUCACCCUAUAUUCAGGCAAUUAAAAAUUCAACAUUAAUUAAUUAAUUAAUUAAUGUCACCCUAUAUUCAGGCAAUUAAAAAUUCGUAUGAUUUGUGGUGGAGAACAUGGAAAUGAGAACCUGUUUUCCUCUAAUCAUCGACGCACAAGUGCUCACAGACAUCUAUAAUCGUCACUGAGAUGUAUGACAGAUCUAACAAAUCAGCAUGCUAUCACAGCAUCAGUCUUCAAUUAUGAUCUUAUGUCUGACCUGGUACUUGGAAUAUGAAAAUUCAAGUUGGUAAGUUAACACAAUACAUGAUGGUGAUACAUAACAAUUUUCUCUGCUAUGGGAGUUUUUAUUUUCAUUUCAUUUUUAUUAUGAUAGUAAAAUUAUUUUGUCUAAGUAGACUAGAACACACUGCUGAGGUGCUGUAUAUAUAUGCUUCCCCAACAAAUUCUUCAGCAAUAUUAAAGUGGCAAAUAUAUUUCCCAUGUAUUAUGACAGGCCCAAAAAGUUAAAGAGUGUGGGACAUACCUGCUAUAGACCUAAUUUUUCGAAAAAUAAAUCUGAGAUAUAUUCUUUGUAAAGGUUAAAUUUCAGUGUUCAUUUCAUAAUGGAAGUCAGUGAACAUACAGAAAAGGCAGUAUUUUAAUUACUGACUUCAAAGUAUAACAUUAGCUAAAGCACAACUUAAAAUGUUAUAAGAGUUUUGUUACUUCCAGCAUAAAUUUUUUCACAUUAUUAGCAUUCAGUUUGGACAUAUUUUCUUUCUUACUCACUCACAAAAUUGUCUGGCUCAAUAAAAAGGUUUACAGAUUGAAACCAAAAUUAAAUCAGAACUUCUUAUAGUAGCCCUAAAAAUUAAGAGCAUCAUAAUUCAGAAUAAUAAUCACUUUUCAUUUUACAGAAUUUUCAUGGCAAAACAUUUAGAACAGCCAUGUGUGGUGUUUUGUAUUUAUGUUUAAUGCACAAUACAAAAACCAUAUAUGACAAUUUACAAUUUUAAUGUUUGUUUUUAAUGCUUUUAAAAAUAGCCAAAGUUUGCAAAUCCUAUUCUACAGUAUUGUUGGCAAGCACCUACACUGACAUUGUGAAUAAAAAUAAUGGGCACAUUCCUAUUAUAUUAGUCAAAACAGACAGAGGUAAUUCUAUGUAAUCUUAGAUGAAAAAUGAAUCUUCAUUGCACCCAUUAUACUCCAGUAUCAAAAUAAAAGGAUUUUAAUUAAAAAUUAUAAUCUGCUUGACAUUUAACAUUUUCCAUUCUAAGUUAUGUUUUAUCAAAUCUUUUAUUACCCCUAGCACAUUUCCCUUGUCCCAGCUCUGAGGACAGGAUAUUAUAAGAUGCUGAUUCAUUCCUAGGUAAAGCUAUCAGAUCUCUAGUUCAGUAUCUCUUGAAAUAUAUAUACAAAUCCUGAGAAAUCACCAGUUUAAAAUAUGUGAUUCUAUGUGAUACACAAUAUUUAUUCUUGAGCUUUACUUCACUAUUCAGCAGUGACAAGUUCUGGGUAGCAGCCUUAAUAUGAAAGAGUGGAACAUCAACCAGGACCUGAAAUUUCACUCUUAUGCUUGUCAGACACUAGUGUUAGAUGCAAUGAUGUCUUAAUAGUUUGGAAUGAAAACAUCCACUCCACACUCCUUAUAUAAUCUUUCAGUUGUGAUGGAGAACUGAGGAAAACACAGACUAAGAAAUAAACAGGAUACUUUGCUAUGUUUACCUAUUGAUUCAAUACAUUUUUUCUGGAUCUAACGCCCCAUCUAAGGUUUUUCAUCUGUAUCAGUGCCAUGGUGUCUGAAAAAAAUGGACUAAGACAAUGGGUGCCCAGCAAAGAGGAGAAACUAUAUUGGUAUAUAUAUGCCUCUACAUUUCUUUGCUGUAAGGAUUUGAACUGGGCUGGAGGUAGGAAGGUAGACAGAGCAGCUCUCAUGCAGAUCUCCAAAUUUAGCUGCAAGUAAUGUAACACUAAGCGUGGCAAGAGGUUGAUAAAAAUAACUUGCUCCAUAGCCUUGUAGCUUGUGACAUCAGAGAUUGUGCACACGGAACCAUCCAGCAAUGAAUACGGUAUAGCGAAAGGAAAACAGCUAGGUAUACAAAAAUAUUACAUUGAUUGUGAGAAUCAUGGUGCAGGUAACAAGUAGGAUUACUCGAGCAGGUUCUGAGAAUUUGUUUUUAGAUAUUUUCUUUUGUAUGGGAUGUUUUGAAACAGGCAAGGAAAUGAAAGUCUUGAGUUCUCUUCAGUUAUUCUGAGAAACCCACAAGGUUUUUAAAACCUGAAUAUCAUAGGAUAUGCUUUUGGUUUCAAAUUGUGUCAGUAUUUCUUGUAAUUGCUAUAUUUUAUUGCAGCCUUUAGUAGUUUAUACAUGAACAUAGCAAUAACAAAUAAUGUUAGAGAAACACAGUUUACAGCUGGGGAGUCAUCAAAGUUCUGCCACUAUUGCAAACUGUAAGUUGCAGCAACACAAAGAAUAAAUCACCAAUACUAUCAGUUAGAUACACCACCAGCCUUUAAAGCUGAAUUCAUAGACGAACUGUUUUUCAAUAAAAAAACUUUUUAUGACACACCUGAUUUUAGUAGUUUCCCCAAGUAGAAGGCAAUGAUUAAACACAGCUGUUCCUAUACUACAUCAUAAAAUUAUGACAGAACUCUAUAAGAAUAUUUUAUUCAUUAACCACAGUUAAUUAAUGUUGACACCAAUUUUAUUACUUAGAUAAAUAUCCUUAUGUAAAAGAAUAUUGUACUAGAAAUUAAUAUUAAGCAAAAAUACAAAUCUGAAUUUAUCCAAAGAGCUAGAACUCUAUAAUUGUGUGACAAUGACUAGAAUCAUAGCAUAUAUUCAUAAUUAACAUUUCUGUAUAAAAACUGGUAAUUGUUAAUCCAAUGUCAACAGGACAAAUAAAUGGCUAAGAUAUCAAGAAGAGAUAUUCAUUCAUAAACGGUUACUGUAAAAUAACAUGGAAUCAGUCAAGUUUGAAGUGAAACUGGUGUCUAGUUCCACACACAUUAAAACGUUCAUGAUCGCAUUAAAUUUUCCUCAUGACUGAAAAUGAAGUGCAAUGAAAUGUAGGGCAUUUUAUGGGACACAUAAUAUACUUAUCAUUUUGCCUCAAUUCGUUUUUGAACGUAUAGCACAAUUUACUCUGAAUAAGGAACAUUAAAAAUUUAACAAUUUAAUAUCAUAUAUUGCUUCUGGCAGAGAAUGUUAAAUUCUCUCACGUCCAGCAGUAAGGGUGCCAUCAAUUACAUAACACUUCAACUAAAUAUAACUUUGGGCCAAAAGUCCUUUAUUACAAAGUUUAUGAUUUCCCACAUAUUUAACAUCAUUAUAAAGAUCUGUUUUAACAUCUGAUAUAAGACCUCAUGUUUUAUAGCUUUUCCACCAAUGCUCUUGAUGUGAAAGGCACUUCUGGUUUAACAAUACCAAAUAAUUCUGAGAAUGUUAAUGCAGUGUAAUAGGCAUGCAUUACCCACAAAAUUGUUUUGUUUCACACAUAAUAGGUUCAUUUAAAUGUAUCUCAUUAGCGCAUGAAACUAAUUCUGUGAAAAGAAAAACUAUUACUUAUGUAUCAGAUACAUAAAGUAAAAGUAAAAGUAAAGUAAACAGGC
Molecule: long non-coding RNA, 7852 nt
Organism: Cryptotermes secundus
Lineage: Eukaryota; Metazoa; Arthropoda; Insecta; Blattodea; Kalotermitidae
Exons: 2
Source: RefSeq, a predicted model, not a curated record